Talpa occidentalis (Iberian mole) is the source of this 5617-nucleotide long non-coding RNA. RefSeq lists it as uncharacterized. The transcript has 3 exons. The record is from RefSeq and is a predicted model, not a curated record. Lineage: Eukaryota; Metazoa; Chordata; Mammalia; Eulipotyphla; Talpidae.
AGGGCGCAGGGGAAGGAGCCUGGUCCUCGGACUCCAGAGUUGGAGCUGAAGGUCAAACGGUGGUGGGAACAGACGGGACAGGCUCCUGCUUACCCGUCUUAUUUUGGAAGAUUUUUUAAAUACUCUGGAUAAUCAAACUUCUCUAAAACUAGCAAGUUACAGGAGCCAUCAGACCUCACCAUCCAGGUGCUGGGACUUGUGCUGCCUUUGGCAACUCUCUCAUUUGGAUGAGAUGCAUCCCGCCCCCAAGAUCCUGGCCCGUCUCCACCGGUUAAGCUCGGAAAAUGGCUGAUACCUGAGAAGCCAGGUGUCUGCAGCAGGGAACUCUUCAGCCUGGCAGUCUUGGGGAUGCCUGUCAGUGGCACAGUCCUGAAGGAGCACAGCAGGGACGCAGCCUGGAGACUGGUUCUGAGACGCUGUAAACCUCUGAUAUUGGCCCUUCCUGAACCACACCUCUAGACAUGAUUCUUCCCUAUCUGCUUCCGUAGAUUUUUUUGGGUGUUGCGGGGCUCUUUCUGGAUCCCCUGGGUUGGAUGUGGGUACUCAGGUGACUGCUGGUGUGACUCAAUUUCAUGGUUCCUUACCAGCAGGGACAUCUUUGAUCCCUUCACAUGUAAGUUGCUGUCUGACCUCUGCACAUUGGGAUCCUAACAUGAGGUCCACUGUUGCCACGCUCUGGUAGGAGUCUGGUGAUGAGACUCUCACUCUCCUCCCUUGCUCAUCUGUGGCCAUUACUGAACUUGGGUUGGCUCUAGGCUGCCUCCCUCAACCCCCAGGACAUUCCAUCUGCCCCAGAGCCUGCCCACCAAGGGGUACGUUAAGGUUGGGAUUGGGCCCUUCUUUCCUGUCCAGUAACAGGGGUCUCUGAGGUGCUGUGGUCAUCACCACAUGGGGUCCCUGCCUGGGCCUUCUGGGAGUCCUCAUUGGCAGGAAAGGGGGCUGGGAAGAAAGGCACCUCAGUGAGGUUGGAAUUGAUAUUUUAUUAUCAAGCUGUGCUUCUAAUGGUGUAGGGUUUGAUACCAGGGCUUAAUUAACUUGCCUUUGGAGCCCAUCCCUGAUACACAGAAGGCUAAGCUAGAAAAGAAAGACUGCAGAUGGGCUGAGGCUGGAACUUUUUUCAACUUGAAGAGAUUAGCAACUUCAGUAUUCUGAAGGGCAAGUGCCUCCUGGGCCUCACACUAACUUGUAUUAGUGAGCCGGCUGAGCACAGACAACUGCAGUCAGGCAGUUGUGUAACUCGCUGGCGGAGGAGACUCAUGUCCAGGCUCCUUGGGAGGGUGGACUGUCUGGGAAGGGAAAAGGCAUGUUGGUCACCAGCCUGGAGCAAUGACCUUCCAGGGGAAUCUGACCCUUUAGAGACUGCCAGAAUUUCCUGAUGAAAUGGGCUUCCAGGAUGAUUUCUGUGUUAUCUGCAGGCAACUGUUUAAGGGCCUCAUUAUCUUUCCUUUUAACAAUGACCUUCAAGCCUGGGAGUCCCCAAAAUGCUGGGAGAUGUUGGUGGCUUUCCUGGUGGCUUCUUGCAAUUAUUUAUGCACAGAGGCUGAAUUCCUGCUUCCUAGCAGCUUCUGCUAGAGGUGACAUUGCAGGUUUUGUAUUGUCAUUGGCAUGAAGGAUUGUGACCUGUUCUGAGCCACAGGGCUAGAUACCCUACAGCAACCCCUCUAGAUUGGUCGUGAAGUUGGUGGGAAUGGAAAGGAGCAUUAGAAGUGGGGCUGAGUUUCAACCUGAGCCUUAUAUCCAGCCCAUGAUUGGGCUGCAGAAGGAGUUUAGUGUUGGGGUUGGACCACAGGGGACUGGACUAAGGGCUGGACCAGAGAGUGAUGUGAAGCUACUACUACUUCAUGAAUUUGCCCAGGUAAGACAUUAAACAGUUGUUCCAACAGAAUGGAGGGAAGAUCUGGGGAUCCAGAGACCAUGACAGAUCCAUUAAGGACUCACUGUGCAGAUUCAUAGAUCCCAAGGUUUUCUGUAAGUGGUCCCCCAAAAUCUCAGGACAUGGUAGCUCUCUAGCACCCAGCAGCUGCUCUAAUCUGUCUUUCAUGCUCCAGAAUGGCGGGCCACCCAUGAUAUCCUCUGUGUCAUCCAGCGACUUGAGCAUAUUCCCUGAAGAAUUUAGGUGACUGACCCUUCUGCUGCUUCUUUGUCCUUUCAGCUGCACUCUCAGCUUCCGGGAGUCAGGGAUGAUGAAAGUCGGGCUACCAGCCUCCACCUGGUGGUUUUUAGUGUUGUCCCAGAAUGGGGCCCUUGGUUAGGGGAUUGGAAGGCCCCCUCUCAAUGACUCAGGAUGUGACCACGCUGAGAGGCUCAAGGCUUUGGCCCUUCUGGAAUCCCACCAGGACAUGGACGUAAAAGGACGGGUUGAGCAUCCUAGGCCUGAGAUGGUUUAGAUGGGAGACUGUGUCCAAGGGAUAUGGGAGAAGAGUAUGGGGCAGUGCCCAUUGGCAGUGACAACGAGUCACACUGAGGAAGAGUCAAGCUGGAGCCUGGAGAUGGGUGGCCAGCAAAGGCCAUCAGAGAUGGAGGCCAGGCCUCUGAACCAGGGGGCGCUGAGUGGCGAGGUGAAGGAGCAGGUAAAUGGGGGCAAAGGCUCUCCAGGGGACGAGGAGUGUAUGAUGGCUCAGAAGCGGUCAGUAUGACUCUGAACUAACAGAAAGUAAGGAAAACAUGGGUCCUGAUGAGUGGGUGGAGGCCAGAGGUAAGGAGUGCAUGGUCAGAGAAGCUGACAGGGACAUGGCAGGAGUAGCAACUUCCACACACUUCCCUGAAUGCUGGUGGGCUCUGGCAGAUGCUGCUUUCCACCCAUUGCUCAGGGGGUCGUGACCUAAGGGCUGAUGGCAGUGCCCUUUUCAUGGUGCAUCCUCAGGUGGCUGCACAAGACAGGAGGCCCAAGCUAUGGCCAAGAGAAGAGGAACCAGGAGGCCCAGGCAGGACAGGCAGCAUGGGCACCCGUAUCCCAGUCUCCUUCCAUUGCCCCUGGCUGACCUGGGCUACCAGCCUCCACCUGUCGUUUUCUAGUGCUACCCAGAAUAGUGCACCUGAUAGGGGGCUGGGAAGGGGCUGUCAAAGGGACCCAGGUUGUGACCAUGCUGAGAGUCUCAAGGCUUUGGCAAUCCUUGAGUCCCAAGUGGUCAGGGACAAAAAGGACAGGUUAAGUAUCUUAGGACUGCAAAUAUUGUUGGUUUCACUUCUGAUUUGGAUUCCUUUUAUUUCUAUCCAUUGCUUAACUGACUGUGCUGACUGGACUGCCAGUACUUUGUUGAAUAUCACUGAUGAGAUCCCGACAUACCUGUCCUGUUCCUAUUCUUAGGGAAAACCUUUCAGUAUUUUUAAAUUAAUAUGCGUACAAGAUCUGGGUGUAGGCCUGUGGAGUGGUGGAUGAGAUGAUUCGCCAGAGACAGAGUGGGGAGAAGAGCAACAUAAAUGGAGCUGGAAGGAAUCAUGCUUAGUAAAAUAAGCCAGAAAGAGAAAGAAAAAUGCUAGAUGGUCUCAUUCACAGCAGGAAUUUAGUAAACCCAAAUAAGGGAUCAGGAAAAAGACUAAUUUAAUAUAGUGAAAAUCAAAAUCAACAGGCAACUAUAAACCAGAGGCACACUGUGGGGGCAGGGGAGAAAGGAGUCAGAUCAAAACAAGGAUGGUGGGAAUUUUACCGAAACUAUAACCAAGAUGAAGAGGCACACAUUGUACAAAAUGAAAAAAUGAUGUAAAUUAUAUAAAAUGAAAAAAAAAUGAUUUUUUCCAAUAAAAUAAAAUAAAAUACACUGCUGAGGGUUGCAGCAGGCAAGAUAGGAAAGGUCUGCUGCACCAUGUGGGUAUUUCCCUGGCCUGGGAUCGAACUCAUGUUGCAGUGGCUGAGAUAACUUGAUAUGCUGUGUCUUUAACCCCUGAACCACCAGGGAGAACCCAAAUCUUUCAGUUUUUUAACUAAGUGUGCUUUUCUCUAUAUGGCAUUUAUUAUGAUGAGAUAUGUCCCCUUCACAAUUUAUGAGAAACUUCACUGAUAAAUGGGUGUGGAAAUUGUGAAAUGUUUUCUCUGUGUCUAUUGAAAUGACCAUGUGAAUUUUCUCCCUUGUUGAUGUGGUGAAUGUCGUUGCUUGCAUAAUGUAUAGGAAACAAUUUUGUAUCUCUGCAGUUAAAUCUACUUGGCCAUGAUGAAUUAUUCAAUUAAUGUAUUGCUGGAUUAAUCUGCCAAAAUUCUCUGGGGGACUUUUGCAUCUAUGUUCAUCAGAGAUAUUGACCUAUGUUUUCCAUUUGUACUGUCAUUGUUUGGUUUUGAGACCAAGCUAAUUUGGCCUUUUAAAAUGUGAUAUGGAAAUUUCCUUACUGUUCAAUGAUUUUUUGAAGGGUUGAGGUUAGAUCUUCUUUAAAGUAUGAAAUAUUUGCAUUUGGGGAUAAAAGAAAAUCAGUGGACCUUGAGGGGAUUAUGUUAAGUAAAACAAGUUAAACAGGGAAAGGCAGAUACCACUUUCACUUAUCUGUGGAAUAUAAAUACACAAAACACUUGUUUUGUACUGAAGAGUUGGAACAAAUCUUGAACUUAUCAAGAUGAAGCUAAUGGUUACCUGAGUGAGCAGGGGAGAGAGAGGAGGGUAUGGGAGAAUUGGAGAGGUAAGGUGUGGGCAUGUGUGAAUUGAAGGGGGGGGGAGAUCUGGAAAUGAACAUGACAAAAACAGAGAUGAAAAACUGGUUGGAGGGGUUCAACAGCACAUUGAAAUGCAGAAAAAAGAAUCAUCAGAUUUGAAGGUGGAGUAAUAAAAAUUAAGCAUUCUGAAGAACAAAGAGAAAAGAGUUUGAAAAAAACUGUCCUGUGAGACAUCCUUAGGCACACCACGCAUAUGAAUGAGAGUGCUAGAAAGAAAGGAAGGAAAAGAAAAUAAAAUGUUGUAGAAUUACUGGCUGGAAACUUAACAAAUAUGAUGAAAACGAUUAAUCCACAGACAAUGUUUACCUCUAGCAAGAUAAAAACAAAGAAAUCCACCUUUUGUCUCAUAGUCAAACUGUUAUAGGACAGACUGUGGGAAAACAAAGGGUUAAUUUUUAAAUAGCAAGAGUAAAACAGUUCUUCAUAUCCAGAGGGACCACAAUAAGAAUGAUCAAACUUCUAAUCAGGAAAUUUGGUGGGAAGGAUGAGAUAUUCAAAGAGCUGCUUGCAGUCCCACUUACAAGAGUAACUGCAGGAGGCCUUUUGAACUGAAAUGCUUGAUUCUUAUUUGAAAAUGCAGGAUGUUUUAGAGGAUUGUGUUUGAGUGUGUGUGUGUGGGGGGCUGUGACAUAUGUCUAUGAGUACAGAGUGUUGGAAAUAUUUUCAGUUUAACUUUUAUUAAUUUCAGAAGCAAAAAUUCUAGAAACUUAUGAAUAUAUAUAUAUAUAUAUAGAGAGAGAGAGAGAAGGUUUGAAUAUUUUAAUUGUUUAUGUCUUUAUCUUUCUAAGUUUUGGGCAAUUAUUCAAUUAUUCUCUUGUUAAAGAGAAUGGAGAUUAACUGCAAUGAAAGUUUGUAUUUUUUUCCCUCAAAGUUCACAAAUAAAUAUAAAGGAAAUUUAUAUUCUGAGUUUGCAUCAAUGAAAGGACAUUAUGAGGGACAAUGAAACCAUUAUGGGGAAAAGGUGGCCUUUAAGACAGU